GGAGCUGAAGGAGGAGCCGGAGGAGCUGAUGAGCGACAGCUGCGGCUCCCCCCCCAGUGACGUCACCUCGGAGCCGCCCUGGGCCUCCUGCGCAGGUCAGGGGGGAAAUCGGGGCAAAAUCCGGGGAUUUGGGGAAAAAAUGGGGAUUUUGGGACAUUUUGGGUGGAAUUUGGGAAAAAUUGUGGAUUUUUGGGAAUUUUGGGUGGAAUUUGGGAAAUUUUGUGUCAUUUUUGGGUGGAAUUUGGGAAAUUUUGGGUCAUUUUGGGGGAUUUUGGGGACAUUUUGGUUGGAAUUUGGGAAUUUUGGGUCAUUUUUGGGUGGAAUUUGGGGGAAUUUUGUGUCAUUUUUGGGUGGAAUUUGGGGGAUUUUGGGGGGAUUUUGGGGGAUUUUGGGGACAUUUUGGGUGGAAUUUGGGGAAUUUGGGAAUUUUUGGGUGGAAUUUGGGGGAUUUUGGGUCAUUUUGGGGGAUUUUGGGGACAUUUUGGGUGGAAUUUGGGAGAUUUUGGGAAAAAAUGGGGAUUUUGGGGUCAUUUUGGGUGGAAUUUGGGGAAUUUUGGGUGGAUUUUGGGGGAUUUUGGGGGAAUUUUUGGGUGGAAUUUGGGGAAUUUUGGGUGGAAUUUGGGAAAAAUGGGGAUUUUUGGGACAUUUUGGGUGGAAUUGGGGGGAUUUUGGGGAAAAUUGGGGAUUUUUGGGGACAUUUUGGGUGGAAUUUGGGGGAUUUUGGGUCAUUUUGGGGGAUUUUGGGGACAUUUUGGGGGGAAUUUGGGAGAUUUUGGGAAAAAAUGGGGAUUUUGGGGUCAUUUUGGGUGGAAUUUGGGGAAUUUUGGGUCAUUUUGGUGGAUUUUGGGGGAUUUUGGGUGGAAUUUGGGGAAUUUUGGGAGAUUUUGGGGGGAUUUUGGGGGAAUUUUUGGGACAUUUUGGGUGGAAUUUGGGGAAUUUUGUGUCAUUUUUGGGUGGAAUUUGGGAAAUUUUGGGUCAUUUUGGGGGAUUUUGGGGACAUUUUGGGUGGAAUUUGGGAAUUUUGGUUGGAAUUUGGGGGAUUUUGGGUCAUUUUGGGUGGAAUUUGGGGGAUUUUGGGGGAAAUUUUGGUGAUUUUUUGGGGGAUUUUGGGUGGAUAUUUGGGAAUUUUGGGUGGAAUUUGGGGGAUUUUGGGUGGAAUUUGGGGGAUUUUGGGUCAUUUUGGUGGAUUUUGGGAGAUUUUGGGAGAUUUUGGGUGGAAUUUGGGGAAUUUUGGGGGAAAUUUUGGUGAUUUUGGGGAAUUUUGGGUGGAUUUUUGGGGGAUUUGGGGGGAAUUUUGGAGGAAUUUGGGAAAACUUGGGAAUUUUGGGUGGAAUUUGGGAGGAUUUUGGGAAUAUUUGGGGAAAAUUUGGGGAAAAUUUGGGGGAUUUUGGGUGGAUUUUGGUUGAUUUUUGUUAAUUUUGAUUAAUUCUAACUCAAUUUUAAUUAAUUUUCCCCGCUUUUAAUUAAUUUUCCCCAACUUCUAUUAAUUUCCCCCGACUCCCAUUAAUUUCCCCCAACUUUAAUUAAUUUUUAUCAAUUUUAAUUAAUCCCCUUAAUUAACCCCCCCCUC
This 1570-nucleotide long non-coding RNA is filed under the name Cyanistes caeruleus (blue tit). Its description in RNAcentral is "lncRNA (ENSCCEG00000005960.1)". The record is from RNAcentral. Lineage: Eukaryota; Metazoa; Chordata; Aves; Passeriformes; Paridae.